GACGAACGCUGGCGGCGUGCUUAACACAUGCAAGUAGAACGAAGUGGCGAACUGGUGAGUAAGACGUUAGUAACCUGCACUCCUUUUUAGGAUAAGCCUUGGAAACGUGGUCUAAUACCCUAUUAAGGGGGAUGGGCUCGCGGACUAUCAGCUUGUUGGUGGGGUGAUGUCGUACCAAGGAGGGCACGGGUAGCCCGCCUGAGAGGGUGACAGGCCCCAUUGGGACUGGGAGACGGCCCAGACGCCGACGGGAGGCAGCAGUGGGGGAUAUUGCAUAAUGGGCGAAAGCCUGAAGCGGCGACGCCGAGUGGGGGAUGAAGGCUGUCGGGUUGUAAAGCUCUAUCGCUAUCGAACGGGUAGGUGGAGAAAAAGCGCCGGCUAACUACGUGCCAGCAGCCGCGGUAAUAC
RNAcentral lists this ribosomal RNA (408 nucleotides) under uncultured bacterium. RNAcentral describes it as "partial 16S ribosomal RNA". It matches the Rfam family "Bacterial small subunit ribosomal RNA", at positions 28 to 526 of the family's 1533-position model. The record is from RNAcentral.